CACGCCGUAAACGAUGGAUACUAGGUGUAGGAGGUAUCGACCCCUUCUGUGCCGUAGUUAACGCACUAAGUAUCCCGCCUGGGGAGUACGUGCACAAGCAUGAAACUCAAAGGAAUUGACGGGGACCCGCACAAGCAGCGGAGCAUGUGGUUUAAUUCGAAGCAACGCGAAGAACCUUACCAGGGCUUGACAUCCCGAUGACCGGUAUAGAGAUAUACCUUCUCUUCGGAGCAUUGGAGACAGGUGG
Molecule: ribosomal RNA, 247 nt
Filed under: uncultured Bacillota bacterium
Lineage: Bacteria; Bacillati; Bacillota
Description: uncultured Firmicutes bacterium partial 16S ribosomal RNA
Rfam family: Bacterial small subunit ribosomal RNA
Source: RNAcentral